RNAcentral lists this non-coding RNA (21 nucleotides) under Caenorhabditis elegans. Lineage: Eukaryota; Metazoa; Nematoda; Chromadorea; Rhabditida; Rhabditidae. The record is from RNAcentral.
UGAAAUUGAUAUUUGAGACAU